GGCCUGAUGGUCUAGUAGUAUGAUUCCUUGUUAGGGCGCUUGUCGCGAAAUUUCGAGGAGGUCCCGGGUUCAAUUCCCGGUUAGGCCC
Molecule: transfer RNA, 88 nt
Rfam family: tRNA
About the family: Transfer RNA (tRNA) molecules are approximately 80 nucleotides in length.